UUAGCUUUGGAUUUCCCCCUGGCUCAGGACGAACCGCUGGCGGGCGUGCCUUAAUACAUGCCAAGUCGAACCGAACUCUGGUAUUUGAUUGGGUGCUUGCAUCCAGGAUUUACAUUUGGAGUGAGUGGGCGAACUGGGUGAGUAACCACGGUGGGAAACCUGCCCCAGAAGCGGGGGAUAACACCUGGAAACAGAUGCUAAUACCGCAUAACAACUUGGACCCGCAUGGUCCGAGCUUGAAAGAUGGCUUCGGCUAUCACUUUUGGAUGGUCCCGCGGCGUAUUAGCUAGAUGGUGGGGUAACGGCUCACCAUGGCAAUGAUACGUAGCCGACCUGAGAGGGUAAUCGGCCACAUUGGGACUGAGACACGGCCCAAACUCCUACGGGAGGCAGCAGUAGGGAAUCUUCCACAAUGGACGAAAGUCUGAUGGAGCAACGCCGCGUGAGUGAAGAAGGGUUUCGGCUCGUAAAACUCUGUUGUUAAAGAAGAACAUAUCUGAGAGUAACUGUUCAGGUAUUGACGGUAUUUAACCAGAAAGCCACGGCUAACUACGUGCCAGCAGCCGCGGUAAUACGUAGGUGGCAAGCGUUGUCCGGAUUUAUUGGGCGUAAAGCGAGCGCAGGCGGUUUUUUAAGUCUGAUGUGAAAGCCUUCGGCUCAACCGAAGAAGUGCAUCGGAAACUGGGAAACUUGAGUGCAGAAGAGGACAGUGGAACUCCAUGUGUAGCGGUGAAAUGCGUAGAUAUAUGGAAGAACACCAGUGGCGAAGGCGGCUGUCUGGUCUGUAACUGACGCUGAGGCUCGAAAGUAUGGGUAGCAAACAGGAUUAGAUACCCUGGUAGUCCAUACCGUAAACGAUGAAUGCUAAGUGUUGGAGGGUUUCCGCCCUUCAGUGCUGCAGCUAACGCAUUAAGCAUUCCGCCUGGGGAGUACGGCCGCAAGGCUGAAACUCAAAGGAAUUGACGGGGGCCCGCACAAGCGGUGGAGCAUGUGGUUUAAUUCGAAGCUACGCGAAGAACCUUACCAGGUCUUGACAUACUAUGCAAAUCUAAGAGAUUAGACGUUCCCUUCGGGGACAUGGAUACAGGUGCUGCAUGGAAGUCGUCAGCUCGUNGACGAUGAGAUGUUGGGUUAAGUCCCGCAACGAGCGCAACCCUUAUUAUCAGUUGCCAGCAUUAAGUUGGGCACUCUGGUGAGACUGCCGGUGACAAACCGGAGGAAGGUGGGGAUGACGUCAAAUCAUCAUGCCCCUUAUGACCUGGGCUACACACGUGCUACAAUGGAUGGUACAACGAGUUGCGAACUCGCGAGAGUAAGCUAAUCUCUUAAAGCCAUUCUCAGUUCGGAUUGUAGGCUGCAACUCGCCUACAUGAAGUCGGAAUCGCUAGUAAUCGCGGAUCAGCAUGCCGCGGUGAAUACGUUCCCGGGCCUUGUACACACCGCCCGUCACACCAUGAGAGUUUGUAACACCCAAAGUCGGUGGGGUAACCUUUUAGGAACCAGCCGCCUAAGGUGGGACAGAUGAAAGGGUGAAUUUGAGAAGGAGCCG
Molecule: ribosomal RNA, 1549 nt
Filed under: Lactiplantibacillus plantarum
Lineage: Bacteria; Bacillati; Bacillota; Bacilli; Lactobacillales; Lactobacillaceae
Description: bacterial SSU rRNA
Rfam family: Bacterial small subunit ribosomal RNA
Source: RNAcentral